GGGGGUGUCGCCAAGCGGUAAGGCCGGGUGCUCAUAACACUCUCAUCGCAGGUUCGAUUCCUGCCGCCCCCA
Molecule: transfer RNA, 72 nt
Filed under: Muricoccus nepalensis
Lineage: Bacteria; Pseudomonadati; Pseudomonadota; Alphaproteobacteria; Acetobacterales; Roseomonadaceae
Description: Roseomonas nepalensis tRNA
Rfam family: tRNA
About the family: Transfer RNA (tRNA) molecules are approximately 80 nucleotides in length.
Source: Rfam by way of RNAcentral